Molecule: ribosomal RNA, 2901 nt
Filed under: Escherichia coli
Lineage: Bacteria; Pseudomonadati; Pseudomonadota; Gammaproteobacteria; Enterobacterales; Enterobacteriaceae
Description: 23S ribosomal RNA
Rfam family: Bacterial large subunit ribosomal RNA
Source: RNAcentral
UUAAGCGACUAAGCGUACACGGUGGAUGCCCUGGCAGUCAGAGGCGAUGAAGGACGUGCUAAUCUGCGAUAAGCGUCGGUGAGGUGAUAUGAACCGUUAUAACCGGCGAUUUCCGAAUGGGGAAACCCAGUGUGUUUCGACACACUAUCAUUAACUGAAUCCAUAGGUUAAUGAGGCGAACCGGGGGAACUGAAACAUCUAAGUACCCCGAGGAAAAGAAAUCAACCGAGAUUCCCCCAGUAGCGGCGAGCGAACGGGGAGGAGCCCAGAGCCUGAAUCAGUGUGUGUGUUAGUGGAAGCGUCUGGAAAGGCGCGCGAUACAGGGUGACAGCCCCGUACACAAAAAUGCACAUACUGUGAGCUCGAUGAGUAGGGCGGGACACGUGGUAUCCUGUCUGAAUAUGGGGGGACCAUCCUCCAAGGCUAAAUACUCCUGACUGACCGAUAGUGAACCAGUACCGUGAGGGAAAGGCGAAAAGAACCCCGGCGAGGGGAGUGAAAAAGAACCUGAAACCGUGUACGUACAAGCAGUGGGAGCCUCUUAAUGGGGUGACUGCGUACCUUUUGUAUAAUGGGUCAGCGACUUAUAUUCUGUAGCAAGGUUAACCGAAUAGGGGAGCCGAAGGGAAACCGAGUCUUAACUGGGCGUUAAGUUGCAGGGUAUAGACCCGAAACCCGGUGAUCUAGCCAUGGGCAGGUUGAAGGUUGGGUAACACUAACUGGAGGACCGAACCGACUAAUGUUGAAAAAUUAGCGGAUGACUUGUGGCUGGGGGUGAAAGGCCAAUCAAACCGGGAGAUAGCUGGUUCUCCCCGAAAGCUAUUUAGGUAGCGCCUCGUGAAUUCAUCUCCGGGGGUAGAGCACUGUUUCGGCAAGGGGGUCAUCCCGACUUACCAACCCGAUGCAAACUGCGAAUACCGGAGAAUGUUAUCACGGGAGACACACGGCGGGUGCUAACGUCCGUCGUGAAGAGGGAAACAACCCAGACCGCCAGCUAAGGUCCCAAAGUCAUGGUUAAGUGGGAAACGAUGUGGGAAGGCCCAGACAGCCAGGAUGUUGGCUUAGAAGCAGCCAUCAUUUAAAGAAAGCGUAAUAGCUCACUGGUCGAGUCGGCCUGCGCGGAAGAUGUAACGGGGCUAAACCAUGCACCGAAGCUGCGGCAGCGACACUAUGUGUUGUUGGGUAGGGGAGCGUUCUGUAAGCCUGUGAAGGUGGCCUGUGAGGGUUGCUGGAGGUAUCAGAAGUGCGAAUGCUGACAUAAGUAACGAUAAAGCGGGUGAAAAGCCCGCUCGCCGGAAGACCAAGGGUUCCUGUCCAACGUUAAUCGGGGCAGGGUGAGUCGACCCCUAAGGCGAGGCCGAAAGGCGUAGUCGAUGGGAAACAGGUUAAUAUUCCUGUACUUGGUGUUACUGCGAAGGGGGGACGGAGAAGGCUAUGUUGGCCGGGCGACGGUUGUCCCGGUUUAAGCGUGUAGGCUGGUUUUCCAGGCAAAUCCGGAAAAUCAAGGCUGAGGCGUGAUGACGAGGCACUACGGUGCUGAAGCGACAAAUGCCCUGCUUCCAGGAAAAGCCUCUAAGCAUCAGGUAACAUCAAAUCGUACCCCAAACCGACACAGGUGGUCAGGUAGAGAAUACCAAGGCGCUUGAGAGAACUCGGGUGAAGGAACUAGGCAAAAUGGUGCCGUAACUUCGGGAGAAGGCACGCUGAUAUGUAGGUGAAGCGACUUGCUCGUGGAGCUGAAAUCAGUCGAAGAUACCAGCUGGCUGCAACUGUUUAUUAAAAACACAGCACUGUGCAAACACGAAAGUGGACGUAUACGGUGUGACGCCUGCCCGGUGCCGGAAGGUUAAUUGAUGGGGUUAGCGGUAACGCGAAGCUCUUGAUCGAAGCCCCGGUAAACGGCGGCCGUAACUAUAACGGUCCUAAGGUAGCGAAAUUCCUUGUCGGGUAAGUUCCGACCUGCACGAAUGGCGUAAUGAUGGCCAGGCUGUCUCCACCCGAGACUCAGUGAAAUUGAACUCGCUGUGAAGAUGCAGUGUACCCGCGGCAAGACGGAAAGACCCCGUGAACCUUUACUAUAGCUUGACACUGAACAUUGAGCCUUGAUGUGUAGGAUAGGUGGGAGGCUUUGAAGUGUGGACGCCAGUCUGCAUGGAGCCGACCUUGAAAUACCACCCUUUAAUGUUUGAUGUUCUAACGUGGGCCCCUUACCGGGGUUGCGGACAGUGUCUGGUGGGUAGUUUGACUGGGGCGGUCUCCUCCUAAAGAGUAACGGAGGAGCACGAAGGUUGGCUAAUCCUGGUCGGACAUCAGGAGGUUAGUGCAAUGGCAUAAGCCAGCUUGACUGCGAGCGUGACGGCGCGAGCAGGUGCGAAAGCAGGUCAUAGUGAUCCGGUGGUUCUGAAUGGAAGGGCCAUCGCUCAACGGAUAAAAGGUACUCCGGGGAUAACAGGCUGAUACCGCCCAAGAGUUCAUAUCGACGGCGGUGUUUGGCACCUCGAUGUCGGCUCAUCACAUCCUGGGGCUGAAGUAGGUCCCAAGGGUAUGGCUGUUCGCCAUUUAAAGUGGUACGCGAGCUGGGUUUAGAACGUCGUGAGACAGUUCGGUCCCUAUCUGCCGUGGGCGCUGGAGAACUGAGGGGGGCUGCUCCUAGUACGAGAGGACCGGAGUGGACGCAUCACUGGUGUUCGGGUUGUCAUGCCAAUGGCACUGCCCGGUAGCUAAAUGCGGAAGAGAUAAGUGCUGAAAGCAUCUAAGCACGAAACUUGCCCCGAGAUGAGUUCUCCCUGACUCCUUGAGAGUCCUGAAGGAACGUUGAAGACGACGACGUUGAUAGGCCGGGUGUGUAAGCGCAGCGAUGCGUUGAGCUAACCGGUACUAAUGAACCGUGAGGCUUAACCU